Long non-coding RNA from Falco tinnunculus (common kestrel), 1597 nucleotides. NCBI's taxonomy places the organism in Eukaryota, Metazoa, Chordata, Aves, Falconiformes, Falconidae. The record is from Ensembl.
CCGCCCGGAGGUGUUGCACAGAAAGAUGGAAAGUUGUCUCCUUUCAGCUCAGCGGCUGGAAAAAAAAAACAACCAAAAAAACCCAACGACCACAAGGAAAUCAAUAAACACCUGUUAUUCCCAGAUCCGUAGUUACUUGGACUCAAAGGUGCCUGCAGGCAAAGUUAAAACAAAACCCCCGCAGAACUCUGCAGCACUGUGUUCCUGCUCUGUGAUUCACGGGGCGGUGGGCGAUGGUGAGCAGCAGAGCCUGGCUGGGACCCCCCCGGCAGUGACAUGGGGGAUGCCGCGCAGCCAGCCCCAUCCACAGGAUGAGAUUUAUGGCCACGUGCCGGAGGUUUCGUGCCUCUGCUCAGAAGUGACAUUUGCGGCACGCUUCUGGGCAGUGUUGCUUCUCCAGCGUUGACCCCAGCUGAGGCAAGAAUUUAAAGCCAGAGGGGUCUUGAGUUCUCUUGUCCUCUCCAUCCAUUGAGCUCUUCUCAAUUACUGAUUUUUCUAGUCCAAAACUCGAGUUUAACUGAGGCUUCUGCUCAAGAAAGGCACUGAAUUUGGGAUUAAAACUGUCACACAGAGAAUCAAUCCUUCCUUCCCCAACACCUCCCAGAGGGAAAUCACCCUUGUUGUAAGAAACGUGUCCUUGGAUUCUCAUUGGAGUUGCCCAACUUCAGCUUCACCACCCGACCUUUGUUUUCCCAAGGUAAAGAACACAUUUCUAUGUCACCUUUAACGCCAGCGAUGGUUUUUUUCCCGAUUACUAUUAUUGACUUCAGGAUAGUUACGCUCUUGCCUGGCGCCGGGUCCAGCCCCAGUCCUGCAGAUGCUGGAUCUGUGCCCUUCCACGGUGGGAUGGGUUCCCUCUCCACCCACCUGCACUUCUCCACCAGCCACCGCUCCUGGCUUAACCUGCCGCAGCCCCCAGCUCCUCAACCACCUGCCCAUGUUUGAGAACAUCUGCUUCGCACAAAACCAACUGACUGGCGCCAGUAUGCUCACACCCCUCCCAGUUGCUUAGAUAAACUGAAUCCCAUGUUCCUAAUUCAACCUGAAUAUUAUUACCAACAUCUUCUCACUGUACUGUUACUGGCAUCUGCUUUUGAGUGCUGGCAGAAAUGGAGGUGAGGGCUCAUUUCUGGAUGAGCCCAGGGACCUGCUAAAGAUGGACAUCAGCAGUGCCGGGGGGCUGCUGGCUUAGGGGGCCAUGCCUGCUCUAGAUCCUUGUUUAAUUGCACUUCAGCUCAUCACUACCAAACUUCUUAAGUGCUUCAUGGCUUUUCUUUGCUAAGUUUGUCAAAAUCCCCCUUUUGAAAUAAGAACUGUGAAGACUUCUAUGUUUUCUACUUCAUAUUUUCCGCUUCACCAUCUUCAUCUCAUUGUGGUCUUAGAAGAUUGCCAAGAUUUCUGUUUCUAUUACACUUUAAAAAUUGUAUAUCCCCAACUGUAACCAUUUUCCUGCUAUCUUUAGCUUUCCUCACCCAUGUUCUGCUGCCCACAGCUUCUGGUUUAUUUUUUUUUUUUACCUAUUGCCCUGGUUUCCUUUUGUCAUCUUGGUUUUCUAUUUUAAUUGCUGACUUUAUAUUGCUAAUAAACUGAGACGCCU